UACAUGUGGGGCAAGCGUUGUUCGGAAUUACUGGGCAUAAAGGGUGCGUAGGCGGCUUGAUAAGUCAGUGGUGAAAUCCGGUGGCCCAACCAUCGAACGGCCAUUGAUACUGUCGAGCUUGAGUGCGUGAGGGGUAACCGGAACGAGUGGUGUAGCGGUGAAAUGCGUAGAUAUCACGCGGAAGGCCAACGGCGAAGGCAGGUUACUGGUGCGCAACUGACGCUGAGGCACGAAAGCGUGGGGAGCAAACGGG
RNAcentral lists this ribosomal RNA (253 nucleotides) under uncultured prokaryote. Its description in RNAcentral is "partial 16S ribosomal RNA". It matches the Rfam family "Bacterial small subunit ribosomal RNA", at positions 524 to 776 of the family's 1533-position model. The record is from RNAcentral.